RNAcentral lists this small RNA (784 nucleotides) under Pan troglodytes (chimpanzee). RNAcentral describes it as "retained intron". Lineage: Eukaryota; Metazoa; Chordata; Mammalia; Primates; Hominidae. The record is from RNAcentral.
UUUUUUUUUUUUUGAGACUGGAUAAUAAAAAACAUCCCAGUUAGCUGGGACUACAGGCUCAUGCCACCUCUCCUGGCAUAGGGGAUUGUUUAAAAGAUUAUCUUCUAAUGUGUUCUCUCAAUAUGCCCAGCCCAGUGUGGAUACUGUUUUUUUACAGAGUAUUUAUUGAAUGCCAGGCUUAUUGAAAAGUUAGAAGUUUGGGUAUGUAAGUUUGGGUUGUAUCAAGAAAAACAAGUAAGCAGCCAGAGCUUUUUAAAGUUGAAAAAGUUCAUUUCCAUGAAUCUAACUGUAUUGUAUUCCUUUUGUGUUUUGUAUGUAUGCAUAGGAUUUUUAUAUUACUUUGGGAACAGGAUGUGUGUUUUUGUUGGCAUCCAUCAUUUUUGUUUCCACACAUGACAGGACUUCAGCUGAGAUUGCUGCAAUUGUGUUUGGAUUUAUAGCAAGUUUUAUGUUCCUACUUGACUUUGUCACUAUGCUGUAUGAAAAACGACAGGAGUCCCAGCUGAGAAAAUCUGAAAAUACCACUAGGGCUGAAGCCCUCACUGAGCCACUUAAUGCCUAAAGACUCUGGGGAGCAGAUGUUACCUAAGGUAGUGACCCUGCAUUGUGGUGCCUGAGCCCUGGCAGAAGCUCUUGUAAAAUUUGUUAAUUGUUUAAACCACUUCUUUUGGAGAGCAAAGGGAAGGUCAAGAAGGCAGUUUUAUCAAUAUUGUGUCAGUCACCACAAAGUAGGCCAGAUAAGUUAAAAAAAAAUUUUUUUUUAAAUAAUAAUUGAAACUUAUCU